This 441-nucleotide ribosomal RNA is filed under the name uncultured bacterium. Its description in RNAcentral is "partial 16S ribosomal RNA". It matches the Rfam family "Bacterial small subunit ribosomal RNA", at positions 338 to 795 of the family's 1533-position model. The record is from RNAcentral.
CCUACGGGCGGCAGCAGUGGGGAAUAUUGCACAAUGGGGGGAACCCUGAUGCAGCGACGCCGCGUGAGUGAAGACGUAUUUCGGUAUGUAAAGCUCUGUCAGCAGGGAAGAAGAAAGACGGUACCUGACCAAGAAGCACCGGCUAACUACGUGCCCGCAGCCUCGGUAAUACGUAGGGGCCAAGCGUUAUCCGGAUUUACUGGGGGUAAAGGGAGCGUAGACGGCAUGGCAAGUCUGGAGUGAAAGGCGUGGGCCCAACCCCUGGACUGCUCUGGAAACUGUCUGGCUGGAGUGUAGGAGGGGUAAGUGGAAUUCCUGGUGUAGCGGUGAAAUGCGUAGAUAUUAGGAGGAACACCAGUGGCGAAGGCGGCUUACUGGACUGUAACUGACGUUGAGGCUCGAAAGCGUGGGGAGCAAACAGGAUUAGAUACCCGGGUAGUC